CGUGAACUUGGAAGUAGAGAUUACCUUUGUCAGAAGUGCUGGCUUUCCAAGGAAGACUGCAUGUGUUCAAGAGUCAUACCCUAUCAUCCUUGGCACCAUAUAAGGUUUUGGUUGUAUAUGCAUCCCAAGGAUUUCUUGCGCCAAAAUAACACGGGAAAACUAUUAUGGCAAGUAUUUGGUGUUCAGGCUGCUACUUUGUGCUUAUUUGGCAUUUCGGAACACGAAGAAAUGUUGUGGAAUGCAUUAAAACUUGCAGGUUCUGAUCCGUUUCUUUUGAUUUGUAUGUAAUGCGAUAUAAAAAGUGGAAGGCACUGCUAAC
Molecule: long non-coding RNA, 319 nt
Organism: Ipomoea nil (Japanese morning glory)
Lineage: Eukaryota; Viridiplantae; Streptophyta; Magnoliopsida; Solanales; Convolvulaceae
Exons: 3
Source: RefSeq, a predicted model, not a curated record